RNAcentral lists this unclassified non-coding RNA (392 nucleotides) under soil metagenome. RNAcentral's name for it is "partial contains 5.8S ribosomal RNA, internal transcribed spacer 2, and large subunit ribosomal RNA". The stretch from base 1 to 122 matches the Rfam family "5.8S ribosomal RNA", at positions 35 to 154 of the family's 154-position model. The record is from RNAcentral.
GAUGAAGAACGUAGCGAAAUGCGAUACUUGGUGUGAAUUGCAGAAUCCCGUGAACCAUCGAGUCUUUGAACGCAAGUUGCGCCCGAAGCCAUCAGGUUGAGGGCACGUCUGCCUGGGCGUCACAUAUCGUUGCUCGAUGCCUAUCGCAUUGCGAUAGGACUUAGGGCGAAUGAUGGCUUCCCGUGAGCGUUGUUACCUCGCGGUUGGUUGAAAAUCGAGUCCUUGGUAGGGUGUGCCAUGAUAGAUGGUGGUCGAGUUAGCACGAGACUGAUCAUGUGCAUGCUCCCCAAAAUAUGGCCUCUGUGACCCACACGCGUCUUUUGACGCUCAUGACGAGACCUCAGGUCAGGCGGGGCUACCCGCUGAAUUUAAGCAUAUCAAUAAGCGGAGGA